AGCUUGCUCUUUCCGGAAUUGAGUGGCAAACGGGUGAGUAACACGUAAACAACCUGCCUUCAGGAUGGGGACAACAGACGGAAACGACUGCUAAUACCGCAUGACACAUUGGGGUCGCAUGGCCUUGAUGUCAAAGAUUUAUUGCUGAAAGAUGGCCUCGCGUCUGAUUAGAUAGUUGGUGAGGUAACGGCCCACCAAGUCGACGAUCAGUAGCCGGACUGAGAGGUUGAACGGCCACAUUGGGACUGAGAUACGGCCCAGACUCC
This 266-nucleotide ribosomal RNA is filed under the name uncultured Eubacteriales bacterium. RNAcentral describes it as "uncultured Clostridiales bacterium partial 16S ribosomal RNA". It matches the Rfam family "Bacterial small subunit ribosomal RNA", at positions 77 to 339 of the family's 1533-position model. Lineage: Bacteria; Bacillati; Bacillota; Clostridia; Eubacteriales. The record is from RNAcentral.